This 83-nucleotide small RNA is filed under the name Salmonella enterica. RNAcentral's name for it is "partial RtT sRNA". It matches the Rfam family "RtT RNA", at positions 48 to 130 of the family's 130-position model. From Rfam's summary of the family: This family represents a bacterial cis-regulatory element known as RtT RNA. The exact function of RtT is unknown although it is thought that it may be involved in changing the cellular response in relation to amino acid starvation. Lineage: Bacteria; Pseudomonadati; Pseudomonadota; Gammaproteobacteria; Enterobacterales; Enterobacteriaceae. The record is from RNAcentral. RNAcentral also lists the same sequence under 2 other names.
CCGAGCGAAGCGAGAAAACGUUGCGUCAGCAACGGCCCGCAGGGCGAGCCACGCAGUGGCGAGUCAUCCUCUAUCACCGACCA